This 661-nucleotide long non-coding RNA is filed under the name Heterocephalus glaber (naked mole-rat). Its description in RNAcentral is "lncRNA (ENSHGLG00000050111.1)". The record is from RNAcentral. Lineage: Eukaryota; Metazoa; Chordata; Mammalia; Rodentia; Bathyergidae.
GAGAAUUACUCGCAAGAAUGCUAUUUAGGACAUCAAAUAUCCUUCAUCUAAGAUGAGUCUGCAGGCUAUAUGCAAAGGGAAAGGAGAACUAGGACUGUCUGGGACAAGUGACACGCCAAGGGAUCUGGUUUUCUGUUAUGCCCUGGACAUCUGGACUGCAGUGAGGGAAGCAGAACAGGAGAUACAACAGAGGGUCCACCAAAGUGGAGAGUCCAGUCUGAGAUCACCCAGGAGCGCUGUGGCCCCAGAGAGCUACAGCAUCAUAGUGGGUCCUGGGACGCUGGUAGCAUAGGGCAUGAGUGCUCUGGGUUCAAGAAAAAAAUCCAAGAACCAAAAAAAAAAACCCCUAAAAACUGCACUUUGUAAAGAAGGUUUUAAAACACAAAGCAAAAUCCUAUUUUCAAAAGUAAGUUUUCUGCUUGGAAGAGUACUUCUUUGUUCAGAAGAAUGAAUGUCAUUUUGGGAAUCCAAGAAACCAGAAUCUGAAGAACUAAGCACAUGGAGCCAUAUGGUGAGGAAGAUUGUGUGACGACAUGAAAGCCUUUUCCAACUUAAAGGAAAUGAGAACUAAACUAGCAGAUUGGUGGAAGAACAAAAGGCAGACAUCGAUGGGCUCUUGGGGAAGGGCCAGGGCCCUUAUCCCCUUGAAUCCUGCCAUGGG